Molecule: long non-coding RNA, 335 nt
Filed under: Cyanistes caeruleus (blue tit)
Lineage: Eukaryota; Metazoa; Chordata; Aves; Passeriformes; Paridae
Description: lncRNA (ENSCCEG00000021250.1)
Source: RNAcentral
UUGCAGCCUUUGGAGCCAUCCGAAGGCAGUGCCUGCACCUUGUGAUCUCCUCGGCUGAAUGAAUGUGUCAGGCUGGGUGCUUUCAAACCCAGCCCCAGUUCCAACACAGCCCUCCUGUGUGCCUGGGUACCGUUAGAUCCUUCCUCCCUCAGCCUCCCCAUCCCUAUCACAGUUCACCUUAUGGAGAGGAGCACUUCCUCAAAAGACCCUGCCUGAUUUUAACUCUGCUGAGACCACUGGAGCACAGCAAGGAUUGGGUGGAUUGGAAGUCUUUCACUCCCUCCUGCAUCGAAGGGAUCGAAGGGUUUUGCUCCCUGGCUUGUGAGACAGAAUGA